Molecule: non-coding RNA, 26 nt
Filed under: Homo sapiens (human)
Lineage: Eukaryota; Metazoa; Chordata; Mammalia; Primates; Hominidae
Source: RNAcentral
CUGUGAAGGGAAAACGGCCUACUCAA